RNA transcript from Camponotus floridanus (Florida carpenter ant), 3902 nucleotides. It is a transcript of the gene named dopamine receptor 2, with no coding region annotated. The record is from RefSeq and is a predicted model, not a curated record. Lineage: Eukaryota; Metazoa; Arthropoda; Insecta; Hymenoptera; Formicidae. The transcript has 5 exons.
UAAAACCGCGAAACACGUAACCCGCGUUCUCGCUAUAGGAAAAGUAUCCCCCGUGAAGCUCCUCUCUUUCGGGCCACCCUAUUCCCCGCUUUUAAUUGCGAAUGCAUGUGCGGCGAAAUUUCGUGGAUUCAGAGCGAAAAUUCGUGGACGCGUCGCGUACGUUUUCCCGUACCCUUCCUCGAUCAUGCUCCUUCCCAUUAGCUCGUGUCUGAUACCGACAUCCGACGCGAGCGGAAUCACGGCUGGUAUCAACAGCACCAUCGCUGUCAUCGUCGUCUGUGCCACGCACAUCGUGACAUCGUGACAUCAAUCCGGCGAAUCGAUUGAAUCGAACCGGCGAUCGGGAGAAGCCGUGACCUUGAAGGUUCACGUUGCAAGCGGGACAUGCCAGAUUAGAGGGGAGGGGGGCAAUUAACACGCGUUAUUCGACGAUGAUGCGUUAAUGGAGAACGAUCGCGGUACCCGCGUUACUUUCCCCGGAAGAAAGAACACAUGAUCGCUUUGCGAUGCACGUAGGAUGUACAAUGGUAUUCGAAAGACAGGUAAAUUUAUUCGAAUGAAAAUACUGCUGGAGAUAAAAGAAAUCUGAACUUUUGACAUCUUUCAAUUAUGCCAUUUCGUGUGUUCUGUACUAACUUUAAUAUCGCAGGUGAAAGAGAUAUAUUGUGCCAAAUGUCAGAUAGAUAUCCAAAAGUGUUGAGACAAAGUUCAAUCGGUCCUUAUAAGAUAUAAUUUAAUCACAGAUUGAUAAAAUCUUGAAGAUCGAUUGAACAUCAGAUUGUCUUAUCGGAGUGUAUUUCAAGUGUGAUUAAUUCGAAUAAAUAUGUAAAAAAAAUAUGACGGUAAUCUUAGAAUUACAAUGAUUUUCCGAGGUGUCUCAAUGAGAAAACAAAAUGAGAGAACAGACGAGAAGGAGGAAUCUCGUGAACGUGAAUACGACGCCAAUAUUCUGAUGUUCAGCCGCCUCGAAAACGUCGCGAGAAUCAUCAUCUUGGACGAUCGUACGUCGGGGUGAUUACGGUCGUCAGGGACCGUGGUCAUAGUAACACGGCUACGUACAGCGAAACAUGAAUGUCAGCGAGAUCUACUUCUUGAGCAGCUUGGAAGACGAGGCACACACAUUAAACGACGAUCUAAUCGGCAAGAGUUUCUACAACACGAGCUAUUCACCGCUUUUUAAUCAAACCUACGAUCUUUGGGGACUCGCCUCGGAUCGAAUUGGUCUCGCGAUAGUUUUGUUGCUCUUCUCCGUAGCUACCGUCUUCGGCAACUCGUUAGUGAUCCUCGCGGUAUUUCGCGAGAGGCAUCUGCAUACAGCGACGAACUAUUUCGUGACCUCAUUGGCUUGUGCCGAUUGUCUGGUAGGCCUGGUGGUGAUGCCGAUCAGCGCGGUAUACGAGGUAUUAGAGAACCGUUGGCUCUUCACGACGGACUGGUGCGACGUUUGGCGUUCGCUGGAUGUCCUCUUCUCCACAGCAUCCAUUUUGAAUCUGUGCGUCAUUAGCCUGGACCGCUACUGGGCGAUCACCGAUCCCUUCACGUAUCCGAUGCGUAUGAGCAGGAAACGCGCGGCGAUCCUGAUCGCCAUCGUGUGGAUCUGUUCGAGCGCGAUCUCCUUCCCCGCGAUAGCAUGGUGGCGUGCGGUACGCACCGAGCAAGUACCUGAAGACAAGUGUCCGUUCACGGAGAAUCUCGGCUACCUGAUAUUUUCGUCGACAAUUAGCUUCUACCUGCCGCUAUUUGUGAUGGUGUUCACAUAUUACAGGAUCUAUCGCGCCGCCGUGAUACAAACGAGGAGUCUAAAGCUCGGCACGAAGCAAGUGAUGAUGGCCUCCGGCGAGCUCGAGCUUACGCUCAGGAUGCACCGGGGUGGCGUGUCUACAAACACCGACGCCAGACACCUCUUUCGCACCGCCUCGAGUACGCCCGAGGAUCUUCAGGAUCUCGAGGAACCGUUAACGGUACUCCACAACAACGGUCUCACUAGAGUGCCAUCAGUUCGGAUCAACAACAAGCAGCAUCUGGGCAAAAAUUUCUCUUUGUCGCGGAAGCUUGCCAAGUUCGCCAAAGAGAAGAAGGCGGCGAAGACUCUUGGUAUCGUUAUGGGUGUCUUUAUUAUUUGUUGGCUGCCGUUCUUCGUCGUGAAUCUAUGGUCAGGAUUCUGCUCGAGGUGCAUAUGGCAGGAGGAAAUCGUGUCCGCUGCUGUCACCUGGCUCGGCUGGAUUAACAGUGGAAUGAAUCCUGUAAUAUACGCUUGUUGGAGUAGAGACUUUCGUAGAGCUUUUGUCAGAAUUCUAUGCUACUGUUGUCCCAGACGAAUGAAACGGCGAUAUCAACCGGCAUUCAGAUGUAAACCAAGUCAGAAAUUCGCAUCCGGACGGUACUACUCCGCGUAUUCGAUCCAUCACAUACGAAGAAGUCGAGAAAAUUCCGGCGAGCAAACCUACAUUUAACAACGGAAUAUCAUCGCGAGCUGGCCGUCGAUCGUUGAUCGUAGAAAUCCUCGAGACCUUUUCUCAAUCUUUUAUUUCCGUCAUUAUUUUCUUCGUCCUUUUUUAAUGCAAUAAAUAAAGCAGUUUAUACAGUAAUUUUAGCAAUUAAUUUCCAAGAGUAAGUCCCGUAUCUAUUUUCCAAGACCCUUACGUAUCAGAGAUCGACGAACAUCUCAACGAAUAUCGACGCAUUCCCGUAGAAUAUUAAUUCUCGUAUAUUUCCGGAAUGGCAACGGGAGGGCAAGCGAGUAAUGUAAGCUACAGUAGUGUCAGCCAAAGUAGCGAUGGCGGCAUAUGCGCAACCGGAAGUGGACCUUCCAGCGGCGGUAUGUGACGUCACACGUCGGCCCGGCCGGGGCCACGUCGAGAGCGUGCAAUUCGAUUUCGUGACGCGUGAUUAGUGACACGAUCAAGAUUGAGAAGAAUCGACCUCCAAGAAACUAAAAGAAUUUUUCUGCGCAAUUUAAUUUUAUUGCGCUUGAAAAAUGUCACGAGAACGUGCUUUGAGAAAGUGCUUUGGACGGUACAAUUUAUUGCUGCGAGACGCCUCUGCGAAAUGAAAAAUAGAAACGUGUUGUGGGUGGAUGGGUUAGAAACCGCUUGACGAGUGAACAUAGACCGCAAAAUAUCUGAAGCUGCGAAACACGUACUUAACACGUACUGGACCUUCGCAAUGGCUUUCAAAUUGCCACGAUUUAACUUAAAACGAGUCGUUGGACUCUCGUUUCUGUAAUCGUAUUAACGAGCGAGCAAAUGUACUCUGUCGCGAAUGUACUCUAUCAUCGUGCUCUUGAGGAGAAGUUUGUAAAAACCAGCGUGGUCAGCUUCGAGCGUAAUGCGCCAUAAGAGACUAAAUUUAGUAGAUGCUGUAUUCAUGUUACAGAAAGAGAUCUCUCUUAUAAAAAAAAAGUAUCUUUGUGGAUUUUCAACACACGCGAUCUCUCGCACUCUUAUCUAAGGCGCUGGUUGUAUCAAUUUCCGAUCAAUGCUACCUCUGAUUAGUCAAACUUUCUGAAACUAUUUGCAUAUUGUUAAUAGAAUGUGACAGUCAAUAUGAAAAAUUAUACAAUUGCUAGUCCAAGAUUAAAUACCUAAUAUUGUCGAAAACUAAAAAUAAGAUAUUGUAUGAGACCAAACUAGAUAUCUGACAAUUAGAUAAGCUCGCAACUAUUCUCGACGGAACCUAUUCGAUGGCAAGAGAAAAAAAGAGUAUACGCAUAUGCAUGCGAGUAGAUGUAAAUAACAAAUAAAAGCAAUAUUUACAACUAAAACAAAUCUUAAACGAGAAAAGAAAUGUGAAUUUGGCAAUAUAUAUUUCACAUCCUUUGAAUAUAACGUAUGAAGAUAGUUUUGUAAAAAAAGAACUAGUCACAUGUAUAUUGAAUAGCCUUAAAGAUAGAAAAAGAGUUA